GAGGGUUUUCAAAAACAAGUAUUUUUAAGAUUUUUGAACCAAUGUGAUAGUCAUGUUCAGCAGAUUGAUACUUUUAUAAAGAUGCAAGAGAUUAAUAGAUACAUUUGGAGGCAAUGUGAAAUUUAUGUUAGAGAGAUGAAGAAUUUAUUGAAGAAAAAAGAUAUAUUAAAUAGAAAUCAAUGUAUAAGUAUUUAUAAGAAACUUCAUC
This 208-nucleotide long non-coding RNA is filed under the name Physcomitrium patens. Its description in RNAcentral is "long non-coding RNA (PPAT_LNC005809)". The record is from RNAcentral. Lineage: Eukaryota; Viridiplantae; Streptophyta; Bryopsida; Funariales; Funariaceae.